AGGCAGUGUAGAAUUAGCUGGCUGCUUUGCUUUGACUGCAGCAGUCACUACUACACUGUUAC
RNAcentral lists this microRNA precursor (62 nucleotides) under Gekko japonicus. Its description in RNAcentral is "Gja-Mir-34-P3b_pre stem-loop". The record is from RNAcentral. Lineage: Eukaryota; Metazoa; Chordata; Lepidosauria; Squamata; Gekkonidae.